CAGUCGAGCGGGAAUGCAGAGGCGGAAUUUUUCGGAAGGAAGCCUUUGUGUUUUAGCGGCGGACGGGUGAGUAACGCGUGGAUAACCUGCCCCAUACCGGGGGAUAACAGUUAGAAAUGACUGCUAAUACCGCAUAAGCGCACGGCGCCGCAUGGCGCAGUGUGAAAAACUCCGGUGGUAUGGGAUGGAUCCGCGUCUGAUUAGCUAGUUGGCGGGGUAACGGCCCACCAAGGCAGCGAUCAGUAGCCGACCUGAGAGGGUGGCCGGCCACAUUGGGACUGAGACACGGCCCAAACUCCUACGGGAGGCAGCAGUGGGGAAUAUUGCACAAUGGGGGAAACCCUGAUGCAGCAACGCCGCGUGAGUGAAGAAGUAUUUCGGUAUGUAAAGCUCUAUCAGCAGGGAAGAAGAAGGGCGGUACCUGACUAAGAAGCCCCGGCUAACUACGUGCCAGCAGCCGCGGUAAUACGUAGGGGGCGAGCGUUAUCCGGAUUUACUGGGUGUAAAGGGAGCGUAGACGGUUAAUCAAGUCUGAAGUGAAAGCCCGCGGCUCAACUGCGGAACGGCUUUGGAAACUGAGUAACUGGAGUGCUGGAGGGGCAGGCGGAAUUCCUGGUGUAGCGGUGAAAUGCGUAGAUAUCAGGAGGAACACCGGUGGCGAAGGCGGCCUGCUGGACAGUAACUGACGUUGAGGCUCGAAAGCGUGGGGAGCAAACAGGA
RNAcentral lists this ribosomal RNA (720 nucleotides) under uncultured bacterium. Its description in RNAcentral is "bacterial SSU rRNA". It matches the Rfam family "Bacterial small subunit ribosomal RNA", at positions 59 to 777 of the family's 1533-position model. The record is from RNAcentral.